Long non-coding RNA from Dreissena polymorpha, 1651 nucleotides. RefSeq lists it as uncharacterized. The record is from RefSeq and is a predicted model, not a curated record. Lineage: Eukaryota; Metazoa; Mollusca; Bivalvia; Myida; Dreissenidae. The transcript is spliced from 3 exons.
UCACCCGCUGAACUCAUGAUAAACGAGGCUUCAUGAUAAUAUGUGGCUGUGAAACACAAUUUUUCAAUAAUAUGUUUAACAGUCUCCUAGUGGAAUUUGUGUAAUUAAUCUGCUAUGCCACAAGUUAUCAGGAAAAACUAUGAAACAUUAAUGGAACGACGAUUUCAAUAAGGAAGCUUACCAAACGAGUGUUUAGAAUGAGCACAAAUACAAGGAAUAUGAGAAUUGAAGGAAUAGGAGAACUAUCUGAAAUACGAGAACAUAAAGUAGAAUAAAACCAAAUAAGCAACAAUACAAUUAUCACAACAAUUUAGAUGGCCGUUUUAUAAGCAGAGUCAUGCAUAACAACCGAGUCGAUGAGCUAAAUAAAAACGCGUUCAAAAGUUUGAAGUUAAAACACCGUUAAAUUUGUAUUUGAUUACAAAUCACGUAUUUCAUUGAUAAAUCUGUAAACACAGUUUAUCAACAUUGGGGCCAUUAAGCCCACUGUCACAUUACGUGCUGGAUUCUCUCGUGUCCUAGAUAGUGUAGAUUAUGAACGUGUGAGUAUACUUAGGUAACCUUAACUAAACAUAGGAGGGAAUGUCUCCGCCGACCUCAAAUAAUCAUGCAGGUCUCUGCAGCGUCAAGUCGGCAUGCUGGACGCCAGUGUCUGGGUCACAUGAACAAGUGCGGCAUAUGGAGGAAUCAAAUUGACAUUGGAUGCGUUUAAAAUUAUCGUUAACGCAAUAUAACAUACUGGGCUCAGUAGAAAAAUAGCACGAUUUCAGACUACUGGAUGAAACAUGACGGUUUGGCGGAUACCUUUUUCCUGGAGAGUAGCCGGUAAAAAAGGGAAGUUGUCUACAGUCAUCUGAAGGUUAAAACAUGUCGAUGAAAAUAGGCAUUGAUAAAAAACAAGAACAGCAUGAAUUGCAUAGGCCGCGCCAUGCGAUAAAUGGGUCUAAUGAAAUAUGCGGCCAGCGUUGAUCCUGAUCCGAGUACACGAAUGCGAAGCAUGGUCUUAAGCUACUCUGGUAACAUAUGGCAAGUUCAACUAAUUCAGAUCACCUAUGCCUCAUGAGUGCAGCCAGUAUGCAAGUCAAAUGUGGGAUACAUGUUGGGGGACAAGUCGCGAUCGCAUAUGCAACGGAAUACUUUCAUUGAUUGCACGCAGUCGAAACAUAACCGGCAUACAAUGUGACGUCUAGGCAAAUUGAUUGCGGUAUAAGCACUUAUUAUAAUUAAUGACAUUAAUUGCCGCCAUGUGUAUCCAAAUUCAGUGUCAUGUGUGCUCCAAUAACCUACUUCUGCGUCACGCGAACAAAUGAGGAGAUGCAAUCCGGAUAUCAGACCAUUUAACCUAGAACAGCUCAGCAGUUUUCAUAUUAAUUUGACAAAAUCAUUCUGAAACAGGAAGGCUUCUUUGAACGAAGCUGCACAUGACUUCCGAAAGAAUAUUGUCAUUCACGUAUCCGUCCAUAUUUUACUUAAUUUAAUGCCGGCACGUGUUUCUGCUCCGCUGACUGAACAAAAUUGGACCCUAAGCGCUUGAAAUCGUCAAACAUUAGAACUUAAUAUUCUGAGAUGAAAAGUAUUGCAACUUUGCGCUAAUAGUGUUUCAUUAUUCGUGAGGUACAAGUAAGUUAUGCCAACCAUGUUCGAUGCCGUA